CUAAGCAUCAGGUAACAUCAAAUCGUACCCCAAACCGACACAGGUGGUCAGGUAGAGAAUACCAAGGCGCUUGAGAGAACUCGGGUGAAGGAACUAGGCAAAAUGGUGCCGUAACUUCGGGAGAAGGCACGCUGACACGUAGGUGAAGUGAUUUACUCAUGGAGCUGAAGUCAGUCGAAGAUACCAGCUGGCUGCAACUGUUUAUUAAAAACACAGCACUGUGCAAACACGAAAGUGGACGUAUACGGUGUGACGCCUGCCCGGUGCCGGAAGGUUAAUUGAUGGGGUCAGCGCAAGCGAAGCUCCUGAUCGAA
Molecule: ribosomal RNA, 314 nt
Filed under: Salmonella enterica subsp. enterica serovar Typhimurium var. 5-
Lineage: Bacteria; Pseudomonadati; Pseudomonadota; Gammaproteobacteria; Enterobacterales; Enterobacteriaceae
Description: bacterial LSU rRNA
Rfam family: Bacterial large subunit ribosomal RNA
Source: RNAcentral